CCCUUUCGGAGUGCAAGGGCUUGUGUUCACGG
This 32-nucleotide non-coding RNA is filed under the name Geobacter sulfurreducens PCA. The record is from RNAcentral. Lineage: Bacteria; Pseudomonadati; Thermodesulfobacteriota; Desulfuromonadia; Geobacterales; Geobacteraceae.